RNAcentral lists this ribosomal RNA (465 nucleotides) under uncultured bacterium. RNAcentral describes it as "partial 16S ribosomal RNA". It matches the Rfam family "Bacterial small subunit ribosomal RNA", at positions 338 to 795 of the family's 1533-position model. The record is from RNAcentral.
CCUACGUGAGGCAGCAGUGGGGAAUAUUGCGCAAUGGGCGAAAGCCUGACGCAGCGACGCCGCGUGAGGGAUGAAGGUCUUCGGAUCGUAAACCUCUGUCAGCAGGGAAGAACGGUCACUGUGCUAAUCAGCAGUGAAUUGACGGUACCUGCAAAGGAAGCACCGGCUAUCUCCGUGCCAGCAGCCGCGGUAAUACGGAGGGUGCGAGCGUUAAUCGGAAUUACUGGGCGUAAAGCGCUCGUAGGCGGUAUGUCAAGUCAAGGGUGAAAUCCCCGCGCUCAACGUGGGAACUGCCUUUGAAACUGGCAAACUGGAGUGUGUGAGAGGAUAGUGGAAUUCCAGGUGUAGGAGUGAAAUCCGUAGAUAUCUGGAGGAACAUCAGUGGCGAAGGCGACUAUCUGGCACAUAACUGACGCUGAGGAGCGAAAGCGUGGGUAGCAAACAGGAUUAGAGACCCCGGUAGUC